RNAcentral lists this ribosomal RNA (497 nucleotides) under uncultured bacterium. RNAcentral's name for it is "partial 16S ribosomal RNA". It matches the Rfam family "Bacterial small subunit ribosomal RNA", at positions 28 to 507 of the family's 1533-position model. The record is from RNAcentral.
GACGAACGCUGGCGGCGUGCCUAAUACAUGCAAGUUGAGCGCUGAAGGUUGGUACUUGUACCAACUGGAUGAGCAGCGAACGGGUGAGUAACGCGUGGGGAAUCUGCCUUUGAGCGGGGGACAACAUUUGGAAACGAAUGCUAAUACCGCAUAAAAACUUUAAACACAAGUUUUAAGUUUGAAAGAUGCAAUUGCAUCACUCAAAGAUGAUCCCGCGUUGUAUUAGCUAGUUGGUGAGAUAAAGGCUCACCAAGGCGAUGAUACAUAGCCGACCUGAGAGGGUGAUCGGCCACAUUGGGACUGAGACACGGCCCAAACUCCUACGGGAGGCAGCAGUAGGGAAUCUUCGGCAAUGGACGAAAGUCUGACCGAGCAACGCCGCGUGAGUGAAGAAGGUUUUCGGAUCGUAAAACUCUGUUGGUAGAGAAGAACGUUGGUGAGAGUGGAAAGCUCAUCAAGUGACGGUAACUACCCAGAAAGGGACGGCUAACUACGUG